CAGCGCCACGAGUGGGAGCCAUGAUUAUUGGGCCUAAAGCGUCCGUAGCCGGUUUGAUAAAUCUUUUGUGAAAUCGUUAGGCUUAACUUAACGACGUGCAGAAGACACUGUCAGACUUGGAACUGGGAGGAGUCAGAGGUAUUCUUGAGGGAGCGGUAAAAUGCUAUAAUCUCAGGAGGACCACCUGUGGCGAAGGCGUCUGACCAGAACAGAUUCGACGGUGAGGGACGAAAGCCAGGGGAGCGAUCCGGAUUAGAUACCCGAGUAGUCC
This 271-nucleotide ribosomal RNA is filed under the name uncultured archaeon. RNAcentral's name for it is "partial 16S ribosomal RNA". It matches the Rfam family "Archaeal small subunit ribosomal RNA", at positions 477 to 747 of the family's 1478-position model. The record is from RNAcentral.